This 343-nucleotide ribosomal RNA is filed under the name uncultured bacterium. RNAcentral's name for it is "bacterial SSU rRNA". It matches the Rfam family "Bacterial small subunit ribosomal RNA", at positions 28 to 372 of the family's 1533-position model. The record is from RNAcentral.
GACGAACGCUGGCGGCGUGCUUAACACAUGCAAGUCGAGCGGUAAGGCCCUUUCGGGGGUACACGAGCGGCGAACGGGUGAGUAACACGUGGGUGACCUGCCCUCAGCUCUGGGAUAAGCCUGGGAAACCGGGUCUAAUACUGGAUAUGACUCCAUGACGCAUGUUGUGGGGUGGAAAGCCUUGUGCGGCUGAGGAUGGGCCCGCGGCCUAUCAGCUUGUUGGUGGGGUGANGGCCUACCAAGGCGACGACGGGUAGCCGGCCUGAGAGGGCGACCGGCCACACUGGGACUGAGACACGGCCCAGACUCCUACGGGAGGCAGCAGUGGGGAAUCUUGCGCAAU